Molecule: non-coding RNA, 353 nt
Organism: Pelobates cultripes (western spadefoot toad)
Lineage: Eukaryota; Metazoa; Chordata; Amphibia; Anura; Pelobatidae
Source: the annotation of a GenBank genome assembly
GGAGAGUCUCUGGCUCAUGUACUCUCUAUAUUCUGUAGAUAGCGUAUAUACUUUAUAUUUUUCUUCUAUUUCUGUUUAACUCUCGGGGGACGCAGGCAAGAGCAGGCAUUUUGAUAAGGGGUGCCCUCGAAGGCACAAGAUUUAGGGAUUACCUCUUUUGCUUUAUCUAUCACUAACCGUUUAUACCUAUCAUUUAAACCGAAUUAUUUUCCAAACACUAUAUGUUGCAGAUUAGACUUUAAAGACAGCCAACUAUGUUUUGCUGACACGUAUAAUCUUGCUGCUUUUAAACAGGCAGUCUAUUUAGCAAUAUACUUUACUUGCAAUCGCUGCCCGCUAGCAGUCUUUUUCAG